RNAcentral lists this ribosomal RNA (375 nucleotides) under uncultured organism. Its description in RNAcentral is "partial 16S ribosomal RNA". It matches the Rfam family "Bacterial small subunit ribosomal RNA", at positions 527 to 896 of the family's 1533-position model. The record is from RNAcentral.
GUAGGUGGCAAGCGUUGUCCGGAAUUAUUGGGCGUAAAGCGCGCGCAGGUGGUUCGUUUAAGUCUGAUGUGAAAGACCCCCGGGCUCAACCGGGGAGGGUCAUUGGAAACUGGGGAACUUGAGUGCAGGAGAGGAAAGUGGAAUUCCACGUGUAGCGGUGAAAUGCGUAGAUAUGUGGAGGAACACCAGCGGCGAAGGCGACUUUCUGGCCUGUAACUGACACUGAGGCGCGAAAGCGUGGGGAGCAAACAGGAUUAGAUACCCUGGUAGUCCACGCCGUAAACGAUGAGUGCUAAGUGUUGGGGGGUUUCCGCCCCUCAGUGCUGCAGCUAACGCAUUAAGCACUACGCCUGGGGAGUACGGUCGCAAAGACUG